Molecule: long non-coding RNA, 201 nt
Filed under: Lathyrus oleraceus (garden pea)
Lineage: Eukaryota; Viridiplantae; Streptophyta; Magnoliopsida; Fabales; Fabaceae
Description: Pisum sativum (pea) long non-coding RNA (PSAT_LNC017676)
Source: RNAcentral
UUCUGAUUUUAAUUUCUUUUAUUUCUUUUAAUUCCAUUUUAUUUCUAAAAUUCAUAUCUCUUUCAUUAUUGGUCCAAAAAUUAUAGGACCAAUUUCAUUCUUCUCCUUUUAAUUUCUAUUUUCUAAAAAUGAUUUUUAAUAUUUUUUUAUUUUAUCAUUUGAUAUUUUUUAGUAAUUUUCUCUUUUCUGGUUAUUUUUAAU